CCCUUAGAUGUCCGGGGCUGCACGCGCGCUACACUGAAGGAAUCAGCGUGCUAAAACCAUUGUCGAAAGGCAUUGGUAAACCCAUUAAAAUCCUACGUGAUUGGGAUCGGGAAUUGCAAUUAUUUCCCUUGAACGAGGAAUUCCCAGUAAGUGUGAGUCAUAAGCUCGCGUUGAUUACGUCCCUGCCCUUUGUACACACCGCCCGUCGCUGCCCGGGACUGAGCCGUUUCGAGAAAAGCGGGGACUGCUGCUGUCGGGGCUUUCGGGCCUUGGCUUCGGUGGAAACCGCUUUAAUCGCAGUGGCUUGAACCGGGCAAAAGUCGUAACA
Molecule: ribosomal RNA, 328 nt
Filed under: uncultured eukaryote
Lineage: Eukaryota
Description: partial 18S ribosomal RNA
Rfam family: Eukaryotic small subunit ribosomal RNA
Source: RNAcentral